AAAGUAAUUGGGGAUUUGGAAGGAAAAACAGUGGAUUUUGAUCUCGUAAAAUCCGCUAUUUUCCCUUCCAAAUCUCCAAUUACUUU
Molecule: microRNA precursor, 86 nt
Filed under: Olea europaea subsp. europaea
Lineage: Eukaryota; Viridiplantae; Streptophyta; Magnoliopsida; Lamiales; Oleaceae
Source: RNAcentral